RNAcentral lists this long non-coding RNA (215 nucleotides) under Gallus gallus (chicken). Lineage: Eukaryota; Metazoa; Chordata; Aves; Galliformes; Phasianidae. The record is from RNAcentral.
GGGGUUGCCAAUGAUGGCGGUGGCACUGGAGAGGUUCCCAAAGGACGCAAAGAACCUCUGGGUCCAGGGGUAGACGAUCAGCAGCCUGGCCAGGGCUUCGGCCCCACAUUCGGCCACAUUGACCUUGCCCCAGAGGCCGGUGAUGAGCUGCUUCUCCUCAGCAGUCCAGUGCACCAUGGUGGCAGCUGAAGGGCUUGCUUUGGGCUUCCCUGAAC